AGGUCAUUUCAAAGAGGGCUUGUGGGGAUGUGAAACCAAGAGCUCUUAACGCGAUGACCAGAGAAUGAAGUUCUCCACAGUUUGCCAUAGUCACUCAAUAGUGCUGUGUUUUCCUGAGGAGAUACAAUA
Heterocephalus glaber (naked mole-rat) is the source of this 129-nucleotide small nucleolar RNA. Ensembl annotates it as small nucleolar RNA, H/ACA box 25. Lineage: Eukaryota; Metazoa; Chordata; Mammalia; Rodentia; Bathyergidae. The record is from Ensembl.